Molecule: ribosomal RNA, 271 nt
Filed under: uncultured bacterium
Lineage: Bacteria
Description: partial 16S ribosomal RNA
Rfam family: Bacterial small subunit ribosomal RNA
Source: RNAcentral
CCGCCGGCGACCGGCGCACGGGUGAGUAACGCGUAUCCAACCUGCCCUUUACUAUGGGACAGCCCGUCGAAAGGCGGAUUAAUACCGUAUGUUGUCAUGUUGAUGCAUAUUUUCAUGACCAAAGGCUUCGGCCGGUAAAGGAUGGGGAUGCGUCUGAUUAGCUUGCCGGCGGGGUAACGGCCCACCGGGGCGACGAUCAGUAGGGGUUCUGAGAGGAAGGUCCCCCACAUUGGAACUGAGACACGGUCCAAACUCCUACGGAAGGCAGCAG